Molecule: ribosomal RNA, 62 nt
Filed under: Mediterraneibacter gnavus
Lineage: Bacteria; Bacillati; Bacillota; Clostridia; Lachnospirales; Lachnospiraceae
Description: [Ruminococcus] gnavus partial 23S ribosomal RNA
Source: RNAcentral
GAGGUGGAAGUGUGGUAACACAUGGAGCUGACUGUUACUAAUAGGUCGAGGGCAUAACCAAG